RNAcentral lists this ribosomal RNA (800 nucleotides) under uncultured bacterium. Its description in RNAcentral is "bacterial SSU rRNA". It matches the Rfam family "Bacterial small subunit ribosomal RNA", at positions 8 to 823 of the family's 1533-position model. The record is from RNAcentral.
AGAGUUUGAUCCUGGCUCAGAAUCAACGCUGGCGGCGUGCCUAACACAUGCAAGUCGAACGCGAAAGCCCGCAAGGGUAAGUAGAGUGGCGCACGGGUGAGUAACACGUGGACAACCUGCCUUCGAGUGGGGAAUAACCUUCCGAAAGGAGGGCUAAUACCGCAUAACACCUUGGGACACAAGUUCUGGGGUUGAAAAGAGCAAUUUGCUCGAAGAGGGGUCCGCGCCUGAUUAGCUAGUUGGUGAGGUAACGGCUCACCAAGGCUUCGAUCAGUAGCCGUCCUGAGAGGGAGCACGGCCACACUGGAACUGAGACACGGUCCAGACUCCUACGGGAGGCAGCAGUGGGGAAUUUUUGGCAAUGGGCGAAAGCCUGACCAAGCAACGCCGCGUGGGUGAUGAAGUAUCUUGGUACGUAAAACCCUUUCGGCAGGGACGAACCUAAUGACGGUACCUGCGGAAGAAGCCCCGGCUAACUCCGUGCCAGCAGCCGCGGUAAUACGGGGGGGGCAAGCGUUGUUCGGAAUUACUGGGCGUAAAGGGCGCGUAGGCGGUUGGAUAAGUCAGCUGUGAAAACCACGGGCUUAACUCGUGGCCUGCAGUUGAGACUGUCUGGCUUGAGUGUGGGAGAGGAGAGUGGAAUUCCUGGUGUAGCGGUGAAAUGCGUAGAUAUCAGGAGGAACACCGGUGGCGAAGGCGGCUCUCUGGACCACAACUGACGCUGAGGCGCGAAAGCUAGGGGAGCAAACAGACAUUAGAUACCCUGGUAGUCCUAGCUGUAAACGAUGGAUACUUGCUGU